This 498-nucleotide ribosomal RNA is filed under the name uncultured bacterium. Its description in RNAcentral is "bacterial SSU rRNA". It matches the Rfam family "Bacterial small subunit ribosomal RNA", at positions 15 to 507 of the family's 1533-position model. The record is from RNAcentral.
GAUCAUGGCUCAGAUUGAACGCUGGCGGCAUGCCUUACACAUGCAAGUCGAACGGUAACAGGGAGCUUGCUCCGCUGACGAGUGGCGAACGGGUGAGUAAUAUAUCGGAACGUGCCCUAGAGUGGGGGAUAACGUAGGGAAACUUACGCUAAUACCGCAUACGCCCUACGGGGGAAAGCGGCGGACCGCAAGGCGUCGCGCGAUGAGAUGAACCGAUGUCCGAUUAGCUAGUUGGUGGGGUAAAAGCCUACCAAGCCGACGAUCUGUAGCUGGUCUGAGAGGACGACCAGCCACACUGGGACUGAGACACGGCCCAGACUCCUACGGGAGGCAGCAGUGGGGAAUUUUGGACAAUGGGCGCAAGCCUGAUCCAGCCAUGCCGCGUGCGGGAAGAAGGCCUUCGGGUUGUAAACCGCUUUUUGUCAGGGAAGAAAUCUUCUGGGCUAAUACCUCGGGAGGAUGACGGUACCUGAAGAAUAAGCACCGGCUAACUACGUG